Molecule: long non-coding RNA, 297 nt
Organism: Saccostrea cuccullata (small rock oyster)
Lineage: Eukaryota; Metazoa; Mollusca; Bivalvia; Ostreida; Ostreidae
Exons: 3
Source: RefSeq, a predicted model, not a curated record
AUGGAAUAUUAGAUUUACAGUUUUCUAUAAUAAUGAAUUUGGUAUAUAUAUUUCAAGCUUUUUAUAUGGUGCUGAUGUUGCUGUCUGCAUACUUGAUUUAAGUAACUGGACAGAAGAUUUGUUCUUAUUACAGAAGCAUUCAUGAAAACAUUGGAAAUUGUGGAUGUGAGACGGGAUAUCAAGCUGAAUGGUGCUUAUUGCCCUGUCGAUUUCCUAGUUAUGGUGAUUGCUGCCAGGGUGAAUGUAACUGUGAAAAAAGAUUUUGUAUUCAUGCACAGAAUGCACAGAAGGUAAGAG